Long non-coding RNA from Triticum aestivum (bread wheat), 1682 nucleotides. RefSeq lists it as uncharacterized. The record is from RefSeq and is a predicted model, not a curated record. The transcript has 4 exons. NCBI's taxonomy places the organism in Eukaryota, Viridiplantae, Streptophyta, Magnoliopsida, Poales, Poaceae.
AUAGAAAAAAGGAAAAAAAAAAGACUCUCUUCCUCCCCCGAUUCAUUUCUUCCCCUCGUCUCCCCCGCCGCCUCCCACCGGAGACCAAGAGCUGCGCCCUCUCCCCCUAACCCUAGGCCCCAGACCGAGUAGGUCAAGCGGCGGCCAUGGCGCCCCAAGGUCCGCCUCCUCCGUCUGGUUCCUGCUCGAUCUCCUCCAGCUCCAGAUCCUCCACAAUCUCGCGCGACGGGAGAGGAGCCUCCGCCUGCUUCUUCUCCGGCGACGGCGCGGCCGUGCGCCCCUGACGCCACUCUUCCGCGCGAGGAGAAAGCUGCCUGCAGCCCGGCUGCUCCGACCCUAGUGCCGGCGCCAUGGUCCAGGGCCAGAUUAUCCACAAUCUCGCGCUAAGGGAGAGGAGCCCCCGCGUGCUUCUUCUCCGGCGACCGCCCGGCCGUGCGCCCCUGAAGCCGCGUGAGGAGAAAGCUGCAUGCGGCCCGGCUGCUCCGACCCUAGUGCCGACGCCAUGGUCACCGGCAAGAUCCCCUUCUCCCUCUAUCGGCCCUCUUCUCCUCCCCGGCCACCGUCGUGGCCUUUGAGGACAAGGACGACGGCUGCGCGCUUGGCGUAGGCGGAUUCCACCAUCUCGUCAUCACCUUCCAGGUCGCUCUACACCCGGACAUGGGACUGGCGCGCGGGCGCCGACAUCUGUGCGCCCGAGAUCGUCGGAGCCGCAUCAGGCUGGUUAACAUCCUCUGCUACACCCCCGACGCGGGAGCGGGAUGCAUCGACCUCAACCCCCUGCCGCAGGAGGUCGAGGGCCGCCGGGACUGGGAGACCGCCGAGAUGCCGGGCAGAUUCAGCGCCGACCAGAGCGCCAAGGAGGUGGCCGUGCUCUACGUGGUGCCCGGCGACCGCGCCGGCCAGUUCCACGCCGAGAAGAUGGGCUACCAUGACGAGAUGGUCCUGCUCUGCUCCCAGGGCACCGCUGAGGUGCUCGUGCUGGCUGCCAGACCUUGAUAGUACUCGGAUUUCAUCCCCUUACGUCAGCUCAAUCGGGGACAUCUUCUCUACAGGCUCCAUCGGCCUCCUCUCCGGCGGAAGAUACUACUUGGAUUUCAUCCCCUACGUCAGCUCAUACGCGGAGAUCAUCUCUACAGUUGCGUCGACCAGAGCGCCAAGGAGGUGGCCGUGAUCUACAUGGUGCCCGGCGACCGCGCUGGCCAGUUCCACGAAGGAGGUGGCCGUGAUCUACAUGGUGCCAGACUUUGAUAAUACUUGGAUUUCAUCCCCUACGUCAGCUCAUUUGCGGACAUCUUCUCUACAGGUCGCUCUCCACCCGGACAUGGGAACAUCUGCGCGCUCGAGAUCGUCGGAGCCGAAUCAGGCUGGCGCACAUCCUCUGCUACACCCCCUACGCGGGAUGUGUCGACCUCAUCCCCCCGCCGCAGGAGGUCGAGGAGACCGGCAAGGAGGGAAACCUCAUCGUCGACCACAGCGCCAAGGAGGUGGCCGUGCUCUACAUGGUGCCCGGCGACCGCGCGGCCAGUUCCAUGCCGAGAAGAUGGGCUACCACGACGAGAUGGUCCUGCUCUGCUCCCAGGGCGCCGCUGAGGUGGUCGUGUGGGACCCAAUGACAGAGCUCGUGCUGGCUGGCGACUUACUCGGAUUUCAUCCCUACGUUAGCUCGUUCGCGGAGAUCUACA